Molecule: ribosomal RNA, 1371 nt
Filed under: metagenome
Description: SSU rRNA
Rfam family: Eukaryotic small subunit ribosomal RNA
Source: RNAcentral
GUAUCUUUCAAGUGUCUGCCCUAUCAACUUUCGAUGGUAAGCGACUUGCCUACCAUGGUUGUAACGGGUAACGGGGAAUUAGGGUUCGAUUCCGGAGAGGGAGCAUGAGAAAUGGCUACCACAUCUACGGAAGGCAGCAGGCGCGCAAAUUACCCACUCCUAGCACGGGGAGGUAGUGACGAAAAAUAACAAUACCGGACUCUUAGAGGCUCGGUAAUUGAAAUGAGUACAGUUUAAAACCCUUAACGAGGAUCUAUUGGAGGGCAAGUCUGGUGCCAGCAGCCGCGGUAAUUCCAGCUCCAAUAGCGUAUAUUAAAGUUGUUGCAGUUAAAAAGCUCGUAGUUGGAUCUCGGGCACCAGCAUGUGGUACGCUUAAUUGCUGUUACUAUAUGUCUGGUCCUAAUUCGCCGGUUGCCUGUUGAUGCCCUUUACUGGGUGUCUUCAGUAGCCGGCACGUUUACUUUGAGAAAAUUAGAGUGCUUAAAGCAGGCCUUGUGCCUGAAUACUGUUGCAUGGAAUAAUAGAAUAGGACCUCGGUUCUAUUUUGUUGGUUUUGUAGAGCAUUGAGGUAAUGAUUAAUAGGGACAGACGGGGGCAUUUGUACUGCGGUGUUAGAGGUGAAAUUCUUGGAUCGCCGCAGGACAAACAACUGCGAAAGCAUUUGCCAAGAAUGUCUUCAUUAAUCAAGAACGAAAGUUGGAGGUUCGAAGACGAUUAGAUACCGUCCUAGUUCCAACCAUAAAUGAUGCCAAUUUGGAAUCAGCCUUAGUUAAUUAAACGACUAGGCUGGCACCAUCCGGGAAACCAAAAUGUUUGGGUUCCGGGGGAAGUAUGGUUGCAAAGCUGAAACUUAAAGGAAUUGACGGAAGGGCACCACCAGGAGUGGAGCCUGCGGCUUAAUUUGACCCAACACGGGAAAUCUCAUCCGGCCCGGACACAGUAAGGAUUGACAGAUUGAUAGCUCUUUCUUGAUUCGGUGGGUGGUGGUGCAUGGCCGUUCUUAGUUGGUGGAGCGAUUUGUCUGGUUAAUUCCGAUAACGAACGAGACUCUAGCCUGCUAAAUAGUACGCCGAUCUCUAGUCGGCGCGUACUUCUUAGAGGGACAAGUGGCGGUUAGCCACACGAAAUUGAGCAAUAACAGGUCUGUGAUGCCCUUAGAUGUUCGGAGCCGCACGCGCGCUACACUGAAGGGAUUAACGUGUUUUUCCUGCUCCGAAAGGAGUGGGUAAUCCGUUGAAACCCCUUCGUGAUUGGGAUCGGGGCUUGCAAUUAUUCUCCGUGAACGAGGAAUUCCCAGUAAGCGCGAGUCAUCAGCUCGCGUUGAUUACGUCCCUGCCCUUUGUACACACCGCCCGUCGCUACUACCGAUUG